ACUGCUGAAAACCACUUUAAUCCACAUUAAAUAGCGUGCCGAGACACGCCAUAGCAAAGGACAACAGCCACAAACACCGCUAAACAGCUUGUCCAAACAUCCACCAAAAACACUGUACUAUGGUCUGUGCUCAAACCCUUCUACACACUGUGGUAACCCCAAACACACGUGUUGGUCGAGUCUUUAACCAAAGCUCUCUCUGUUUCCAGGAAGCACUAUAAGGAGUACCUGGUGAGUCUGAUAAACGCUCACUCUCUGGACCCCGCUCCGCUCUACGAGGCCAACGAGGUGACUCGGGCCUGUGAGAGAUACCAGGUGGACACGCAAAGAGGGGAGAACGAGGAUGAUAACGUUUACCACGCUCGACUGCUCAAGAAACUGAUGGAGGUCCCUCUUGGAGAAAAAGUUCCUCGAAACAAAUAAAACUUUCCCCAAACAGAAGAUCACCGACCUGCAGAAAUCAUCCUUAAAUCUUUUCUUCAAGCACUUACACAGCAAGAGUCGUGAUUUUGAAAUAUUUCGUGCCUUAUUUGGCUGUUUACAAGCUGUUUUCAAUCAUCUGCAGAGUAAUUUUUGUCUCCAUACUGUUGAUUCAAAAAAAUAUAUAUUUUUAUGCCAAAAUAAAACAAGAAACAUUAAAUUGUUGGCAGGCAGCUGUGUCUGAUUUGUGUCCUUGUACCUGCACAAAAAAGUCUGUUUUGUAGCUCUAACAUCUGAAUAUUAAACUUUCUUUCACUGUUAAAUAUUAUGAUGAACUGAUUAUGAAGAAAUGAAGCUGUUUCUUUUCUUAUCUCUGUUUCGCUUUGACAGGUUUUCUUCGUCUUCAUGUCACAAUGACAUUUAUAUACUUGGAAAAGAAACGUAUUAAAUGUAAGGAGUUGGGUGUUGUAUGAAUAUGAAAGUUGAUUUAUUGUUUGCACAAGAAGAAAGUCUGGUUUUGGGAAUGUGUGUUAAAAUGUCUAUUUAAGAGCAAUGUAGCAAUAUCAGGCAAAAUGAUACGAAUAAAGACAAAUCUCUACCUAACGGGGGAAAAUUUUUAUUUUCCAAAGA
Molecule: non-coding RNA, 1050 nt
Organism: Plectropomus leopardus (leopard coralgrouper)
Lineage: Eukaryota; Metazoa; Chordata; Actinopteri; Perciformes; Serranidae
Source: RefSeq, a predicted model, not a curated record